CAAUAGCGUAUAUUUAAGUUGUUGCAGUUAAAAAGCUCGUAGUUGGAUUUCGGGUGGGACGCAGCGGUCUCGCAUUGCGUUUGUACUGCUGCAGCCCUCCUUCUUGCCGGGGGCGGCCUCUCGGACUUCACUGUCUGGGGGUCAGAAUCGGCGAUGUUACUUUGAGUAAAUUAGAGUGUUCAAAGCAAGCUUACGCUCUGAAUAUAAUAGCAUGGGAUAACACGACAGGACUCUGGCCUAUCGUGUUGGUCUAUAGGACCAGAGUAAUGAUUAAGAGGGACAGUCGGGGGCAUUCGUAUUCCGUUGUCAGAGGUGAAAUUCUUGGAUUUACGGAAGACGAACAUCUGCGAAAGCAUAUGCCAAGGAUGUUUUCAUUGA
This 378-nucleotide ribosomal RNA is filed under the name uncultured eukaryote. RNAcentral's name for it is "partial 18S ribosomal RNA". It matches the Rfam family "Eukaryotic small subunit ribosomal RNA", at positions 592 to 976 of the family's 1831-position model. The record is from RNAcentral.